GAACCGUACGAACGUUAUUCGGGAAUCACUGGGCUUAAAGGGUGCGUAGGCGGCCUGGUAAGUUGGGUGUGAAAAGCCCUCGGGCUCAACCGAGGGAAUUGCGCCCAAUACUGUCAGGCUCGAGGGAGACAGAGGUGAGCGGAACUGAUGGUGGAGCGGUGAAAUGCGUUGAUAUUAUCAGGAACACCGGUUGCGAAGGCGGCUCACUGGGUCUCUUCUGACGCUGAGGCACGAAAGCUAGGGUAGCGAACGGGAUUAGAUACCCCGGUAGUCCUAGCUGUAAACGAUGAGCACUAGGUCGGAGGCCCUUCCACAGGCUUCCGGUCGUAGCGAAAGUGUUAAGUGCUCCGCCUGGGGAGUAUGGUCGCAAGGCUG
Molecule: ribosomal RNA, 375 nt
Filed under: uncultured organism
Description: partial 16S ribosomal RNA
Rfam family: Bacterial small subunit ribosomal RNA
Source: RNAcentral